UUUAAGCAUAUCAAUAAGCGGAGGAA
This 26-nucleotide ribosomal RNA is filed under the name Dendrocalamus strictus (male bamboo). Its description in RNAcentral is "partial 26S ribosomal RNA". RNAcentral also lists the same sequence under 1 other name. Lineage: Eukaryota; Viridiplantae; Streptophyta; Magnoliopsida; Poales; Poaceae. The record is from RNAcentral.